RNAcentral lists this unclassified non-coding RNA (219 nucleotides) under uncultured fungus. Its description in RNAcentral is "sequence contains ITS1, 5.8S rRNA gene". The stretch from base 171 to 219 matches the Rfam family "5.8S ribosomal RNA", at positions 1 to 49 of the family's 154-position model. The record is from RNAcentral. Lineage: Eukaryota; Fungi.
UCUCCGUUGGUGAACCAGCGGAGGGAUCAUUACAGAGUUACCUAACUCCCAAACCAUUGUGAACUUACCAUAUGUUGCCUCGGCAGAACCUACCCUGUAGCGGGCUGCCGGCGGACCUCUAAACUCUUGUUAUACUAUUGUAAUCUGAGCGUCUUAUUUUAAUAAGUCAAAACUUUCAACAACGGAUCUCUUGGUUCUGGCAUCGAUGAAGAACGCAGC